This 484-nucleotide ribosomal RNA is filed under the name uncultured bacterium. RNAcentral's name for it is "partial 16S ribosomal RNA". It matches the Rfam family "Bacterial small subunit ribosomal RNA", at positions 30 to 507 of the family's 1533-position model. The record is from RNAcentral.
AUUGAACGCUGGCGGCAGGCCUAACACAUGCAAGUCGAGCGGAUGAAGGGAGCUUGCUCCUGGAUUCAGCGGCGGACGGGUGAGUAAUGCCUAGGAAUCUGCCUGGUAGUGGGGGAUAACGUCCGGAAACGGGCGCUAAUAUCGCAUACGUCCUGAGGGAGAAAGUGGGGGAUCUUCGGACCUCACGCUAUCAGAUGAGCCUAGGUCGGAUUAGCUAGUUGGUGGGGUAAAGGCCUACCAAGGCGACGAUCCGUAACUGGUCUGAGAGGAUGAUCAGUCACACUGGAACUGAGACACGGUCCAGACUCCUACGGGAGGCAGCAGUGGGGAAUAUUGGACAAUGGGCGAAAGCCUGAUCCAGCCAUGCCGCGUGUGUGAAGAAGGUCUUCGGACUGUAAAGCACUUUAAGUUGGGAGGAAGGGCAGUAAGUUAAUACCUUGCUGUUUUGACGUUACCAACAGAAUAAGCACCGGCUAACUUCGUG